UACGGAGGGUGCGAGCGUUGCUCGGAAUCACUGGGCGUAAAGCGUACGCAGGCGGUUCUUUAAGGCGGGUGUGAAAGCCCGGGGCUCAACCCCGGAAUUGCGCCCGAGACUGCAGGACUUGAAUGCGGGAGAGGAAAGCGGAAUUCCUGGUGUAGAGGUGAAAUUCGUAGAUAUCAGGAGGAACACCUGUGGCGAAAGCGGCUUUCUGGCCCGACAUUGACGCUCAUGUACGAAAGCGUGGGGAGCAAACAGG
RNAcentral lists this ribosomal RNA (253 nucleotides) under uncultured bacterium. Its description in RNAcentral is "partial 16S ribosomal RNA". It matches the Rfam family "Bacterial small subunit ribosomal RNA", at positions 524 to 776 of the family's 1533-position model. The record is from RNAcentral.